This 334-nucleotide ribosomal RNA is filed under the name uncultured bacterium. Its description in RNAcentral is "bacterial SSU rRNA". It matches the Rfam family "Bacterial small subunit ribosomal RNA", at positions 356 to 707 of the family's 1533-position model. The record is from RNAcentral.
GGGGAAUAUUGGACAAUGGGGGCAACCCUGAUCCAGCCAUGCCGCGUGAAUCAUGAAGGCCUUCGGGUUGUAAAGUUCUUUUGACAGGGACGAUGAUGACGGUACUUGUAGAAUAAGCUCCGGCUAACUUCGUGCCAGCAGCCGCGGUAAUACGAAGGGAGCUAGCGUUGUUCGGAAUUACUGGGCGUAAAGGGCGCGUAGGCGGUUCGACAAGUUGGAUGUGAAAGCCCAGGGCUCAACCCUGGAAUUGCAUUCAAGACUGUCUUACUUGAAUUCGGUAGAGGUUGGUGGAAUUCCCAGUGUAGAGGUGAAAUUCGUAGAGAUUGGGAAGAAC